ACUCCUACGGGAGGCAGCAGUGGGGAAUAUUGCACAAUGGGGGAAACCCUGAUGCAGCCAUGCCGCGUGUGUGAAGAAGGCCUUCGGGUUGUAAAGCACUUUCAGCGAGGAGGAAGGUGUGUGCUAACUACCAUACUAUCUGUGACGUUACUCGCAGAAGAAGCACCGGCUAACUCCGUGCCAGCAGCCGCGGUAAUACGGAGGGUGCGAGCGUUAAUCGGAAUUACUGGGCGUAAAGCGUGCGCAGGCGGCUUUGUUAAGCGAGAUGUGAAAGCCCGGGCUCAACCUGGAUUGCAUUUCGAACUGGCAAGCUAGAGUCUUGUAGAGGGGGGUAGAAUUUCAGGUGUAGCGGUGAAAUGCGUAGAGAUCUGAAGGAAUACCGGUGGCGAAGGCGGCCCCGCUGGACAAAGACUGACGCUCAUGCACGAAAGCGUGGGGAGCAAACAGGAUUAGAUACCCU
RNAcentral lists this ribosomal RNA (460 nucleotides) under uncultured bacterium. RNAcentral's name for it is "bacterial SSU rRNA". It matches the Rfam family "Bacterial small subunit ribosomal RNA", at positions 335 to 788 of the family's 1533-position model. The record is from RNAcentral.